Molecule: non-coding RNA, 77 nt
Organism: Characodon lateralis
Lineage: Eukaryota; Metazoa; Chordata; Actinopteri; Cyprinodontiformes; Goodeidae
Source: the annotation of a GenBank genome assembly
UGCACAGUGGUGCAGUUGGUAGCACUGUUGCCAUGCAGCAAUGUCCCGGGUUCGACUCCCGGCCGGGGAGUUUGCAU